Molecule: ribosomal RNA, 259 nt
Filed under: uncultured Staphylococcus sp.
Lineage: Bacteria; Bacillati; Bacillota; Bacilli; Caryophanales; Staphylococcaceae
Description: partial 16S ribosomal RNA
Rfam family: Bacterial small subunit ribosomal RNA
Source: RNAcentral
CGGGUGAGUAACACGUGGAUAACCUACCUAUAAGACUGGGAUAACUUCGGGAAACCGGAGCUAAUACCGGAUAAUAUAUUGAACCGCAUGGUUCAAUAGUGAAAGACGGUUUUGCUGUCACUUAUAGAUGGAUCCGCGCUGCAUUAGCUAGUUGGUAAGGUAACGGCUUACCAAGGCAACGAUGCGUAGCCGACCUGAGAGGGUGAUCGGCCACACUGGAACUGAGACACGGUCCAGACUCCUACGGGAGGCAGCAGCA